GAUGAACGCUAGCGGGAGGCCUAACACAUGCAAGCCGAGCGGUAGAGUCUCUUCGUUGCCUUGAGAGCGGCGCACGGGGGCGGAACACGUGUGCAACCUUCCUUUAUCUGUGGGAUAGCCUUUCGAAGGGAAGAUUAAUACCCCAUAAUAUACUGGAUUUCAUCAUCUUGUAUUGAAAACUCCGGUGAAUAGAGAUGGCCCCGCUCAAGAUUAGAUAGUUGGUAAGGUAACGUCUCACCAAGUCAGCGAUCUUUAGGGGGCAUGAGAGGGGGAUCCACCAGACUGGUACUGAGACACGGACCAGACUCGUACGGGAGGCAGCGGUAAGGACUACUGGACAAGGGGUGAGAGCCUGAUCCAGCCAUCCCGGGUGAAGGACGACGGCGCUAUGGGUUCUCAGCUUCUUGUGAAUAGGGAUAAUCUUAGAUACGUGUAUCUAGCUGAAGGUACUAAACGAAAAAGCACCGGCUAACUACGUG
This 479-nucleotide ribosomal RNA is filed under the name uncultured bacterium. Its description in RNAcentral is "partial 16S ribosomal RNA". It matches the Rfam family "Bacterial small subunit ribosomal RNA", at positions 28 to 507 of the family's 1533-position model. The record is from RNAcentral.